GUACUCGCUUCGGCAGUACAUAUACUAAAAUUGGAACGAUACAGAGAAGAUUAGCAUGGCCCCUGCACAAGGAUGACACUAUGUACUAUGGCCACAGUAAGCAGCUAA
This 108-nucleotide small nuclear RNA is filed under the name Stegodyphus mimosarum. Lineage: Eukaryota; Metazoa; Arthropoda; Arachnida; Araneae; Eresidae. The record is from RNAcentral.